RNAcentral lists this ribosomal RNA (465 nucleotides) under uncultured bacterium. Its description in RNAcentral is "partial 16S ribosomal RNA". It matches the Rfam family "Bacterial small subunit ribosomal RNA", at positions 28 to 507 of the family's 1533-position model. The record is from RNAcentral.
GACGAACGCUGGCGGCGUGCUUAACACAUGCAAGUCGAACGGAAAGGCCCCUUUGGGGGUCCUCGAGUGGCGAACGGGUGAGUAACACGUGAGUAACCUGCCCUUGACUUCGGGAUAACUUCAGGAAACUGGGGCUAAUACCGGAUAGGAAUCCUUGCUGCAUGGUGGGGGUUGGAAAGCUUCGGCGGUUUUGGAUGGACUCGCGGCUUAUCCGCUUGUUGGUGGGGUAGUGGCUUACCAAGGCUUUGACGGGUAGCCGGCCUGAGAGGGCGACCGGCCACAUUGGGACUGAGAUACGGCCCAGACUCCUACGGGAGGCAGCAGUGGGGAAGAUUGCACAAUGGGCGGAAGCCUGAUGCAGCAACGCCGCGUGCGGGAUGACGGCCUUCGGGUUGUAAACCGCAUUCAGCAGGGGCGAAGCUUGUGGUGACGGUACCUGCAGAAGAAGCACCGGCUAACUACGUG